AUGACAAAAAUGAACAGAAACUACUACCUCCUCCCUCAUGAAGAUGACCCGGUCGGAACCAUUCGGAACAAGAACUGUAUUGGCAAAGUAAUGUUCCUGACCGCUGUUGCUCGACCCAGAUAUGAUGCUGAAGGCAAUGUAAUAUUCUCAGGGAAAAUUGGUGUCUGGCCUUUCGUCCAAGAGAUUCCAGCUGCUAGAAGAAGUGAAAAUAGAGCAAGAGGGACCAUGGAAAUCAAGAACGUCACUGUGAACCGAGACGUAAUGCGGCAGUAUAUGAUAGAGAAAGUGGUUCCGGGAAUAAAAGAAGUGUGGCCCAUAGAUGAUAUUGGCCCAAUAUUGAUCCAACAGGACAACACGAAGAUACAUAUUCUUCCCGGUGAUGCAGAGUUUGCAAAAGCUGUGGCUACAACUGGUCUGGACAUUAGAAUAAUACAACAACCUCCAAAUUCUCUAGAUCUGAAUGCACUUGAUCUUGGAUAUUUCAGAUCCCUUGAGUCUUUGACCGACUGCAGAGCCCCUACGACUAUCAAAGAACUGAUUCAAGGUGUGCAGGAAGAGUUCGAUGAGUAUGAUGUCGACAAACUGAACCGAAUAUUUCUAACACUUCAGACCAUCAUGGUUGAAGUGAUGAACUAUGGAGGAGGAAACUCAUAUAAAAUUCCACAUUUGUGGAAGCAGAGAUUGGAAAGGCAAGGAAUGCUACCGCCUAUGAUACAUUUCCCUCGUGAAGUUUAUGAUAAUGCCAUGGAGAUUCUAGGACAAGAUGUCAGAGUGAGCAUGCAGUGGAGUAUGUUGAGACCUGUAGUGCUAUGA
Molecule: ribosomal RNA, 813 nt
Filed under: Triticum aestivum (bread wheat)
Lineage: Eukaryota; Viridiplantae; Streptophyta; Magnoliopsida; Poales; Poaceae
Description: partial small subunit ribosomal RNA
Source: RNAcentral